UCACUUCAUUAAGAGGUGUGUAUCCAAGUUCAUUCCCGUGGAAAAGGGGUUUUCUGCUGGACUAAUGACAGUCCUCU
This 77-nucleotide unclassified non-coding RNA is filed under the name Acartia pacifica. Its description in RNAcentral is "partial trans-spliced leader sequence". The record is from RNAcentral. Lineage: Eukaryota; Metazoa; Arthropoda; Copepoda; Calanoida; Acartiidae.